CCANAAGGUUAAAACCCAAAGGAAUUGACGGGGGCUUACACAAGCGGUGGAGCAUGUGGUUUAAUUCGACACAACGCGCAAAACCUUACCAAUUUUUGACAUAGAAAAGAAUGCAUAUUUUUUGUGCUUUUUAUUUUCUACAGGUGCUGCAUGGCUGUCGUCAGUUCGUGGCGUGAGCUGUUGGGUUAAGUCCUAGAACGAACGCAACCCUCGGGUUCUUUGCUUUGAAUCAUUGAACUAACUGCCUUUGAGAUAAAGGAGGAAGGAGAGGAUGACGUCAAGUCCGCAUGGCCCUUAUGAAUUGGGCUACACACGUGCUACAAUGAUGAUGCCAAAAAGAUGCAAUUUGGUCACAAGGAGCAACCCUUUAAACAUCAUCUUAGUGCAGAUUGGUCUCUGCAACUCGAGACCAUGAAGUCGGAAUCGCUAGUAAUCGUAGAUCAGCAUGCUACGGUGAAUUUGUAUCUAAGCCUUGUACACACCGCCCGUCACACUCUGAAAGUGAAUUGUACUCAAAAAAAUACAUUUAUUUGAGUUUUAACAUAAAAAGUACCAGAAACAAAAAAGACUUGUUGAUGUUCGACUCUGGUAGAUAUUUUUACAGUAUUGUUUAUAAUUGUAGUG
Molecule: ribosomal RNA, 624 nt
Filed under: uncultured picoeukaryote
Lineage: Eukaryota
Description: partial 16S ribosomal RNA
Rfam family: Bacterial small subunit ribosomal RNA
Source: RNAcentral